GUGGGUAUAGCUCAGUGGUAGAGCGCAUGCUUAGCAUGCAUGAGGUCUAGGAGGUCCUGAGUUCAAUCCCCAGUACCUCCA
RNAcentral lists this transfer RNA (81 nucleotides) under Camelus bactrianus (Bactrian camel). It matches the Rfam family "tRNA". Rfam says of the family: Transfer RNA (tRNA) molecules are approximately 80 nucleotides in length. Their secondary structure includes four short double-helical elements and three loops (D, anti-codon, and T loops). The record is from Rfam by way of RNAcentral. RNAcentral also lists the same sequence under 2 other names. Lineage: Eukaryota; Metazoa; Chordata; Mammalia; Artiodactyla; Camelidae.